AUUGAACGCUGGCGGCAGGCCUAACACAUGCAAGUCGAGCGGAUGAAGGGAGCUUGCUCCUGGAUUCAGCGGCGGACGGGUGAGUAAUGCCUAGGAAUCUGCCUGGUAGUGGGGGAUAACGUCCGGAAACGGGCGCUAAUACCGCAUACGUCCUGAGGGAGAAAGUGGGGGAUCUUCGGACCUCACGCUAUCAGAUGAGCCUAGGUCGGAUUAGCUAGUUGGUGGGGUAAAGGCCUACCAAGGCGACGAUCCGUAACUGGUCUGAGAGGAUGAUCAGUCACACUGGAACUGAGACACGGUCCAGACUUCUACGGGAGGCAGCAGUGUGGAAUAUUGGACAAUGGGCGAAAGCCUGAUCCAGCCAUGCCGCGUGUGUGAAGAAGGUCUUCGGAUUGUAAAGCACUUUAAGUUGGGAGGAAGGGCAGUAAGUUAAUACCUUGCUGUUUUGACGUUACCAACAGAAUAAGCACCGGCUAACUUCGUG
RNAcentral lists this ribosomal RNA (484 nucleotides) under uncultured bacterium. RNAcentral describes it as "partial 16S ribosomal RNA". It matches the Rfam family "Bacterial small subunit ribosomal RNA", at positions 30 to 507 of the family's 1533-position model. The record is from RNAcentral.